GACGAACUUUGGCGGCGUGCUUAACACAUGCAAGUCGAACGGAAAGGCCCUGCUUUUGUGGGGUGCUCGAGUGGCGAACGGGUGAGUAACACGUGAGUAACCUGCCCUUGACUUUGGGAUAACUUCAGGAAACUGGGGCUAAUACCGGAUAGGAGCUCCUGCUGCAUGGUGGGGGUUGGAAAGUUUCGGCGGUUGGGGAUGGACUCGCGGCUUAUCAGCUUGUUGGUGGGGUAGUGGCUUACCAAGGCUUUGACGGGUAGCCGGCCUGAGAGGGUGACCGGCCACAUUGGGACUGAGAUACGGCCCAGACUCCUACGGGAGGCAGCAGUGGGGAAUAUUGCACAAUGGGCGGAAGCCUGAUGCAGCAACGCCGCGUGCGGGAUGACGGCCUUCGGGUUGUAAACCGCUUUCGCCUGUGACGAAGCGUGAGUGACGGUAAUGGGUAAAGAAGCACCGGCUAACUACGUGCCAGCAGCCGCGGUGAUACGUAGGGUGCGAGCGUUGUCCGGAUUUAUUGGGCGUAAAGGGCUCGUAGGUGGUUGAUCGCGUCGGAAGUGUAAUCUUGGGGCUUAACCCUGAGCGUGCUUUCGAUACGGGUUGACUUGAGGAAGGUAGGGGAGAAUGGAAUUCCUGGUGGAGCGGUGGAAUGCGCAGAUAUCAGGAGGAACACCAGUGGCGAAGGCGGUUCUCUGGGCCUUUCCUGACGCUGAGGAGCGAAAGCGUGGGGAGCGAACAGGCUUAGAUACCCUGGUAGUCCACGCUGUAAACGGUGGGUACUAGGUGUGGGGUCCAUUCCACGGGUUCCGUGCCGUAGCUAACGCUUUAAGUACCCCGCCUGGGGAGUACGGCCGCAAGGCUAAAACUCAAAGGAAUUGACGGGGCCCCGCACAAGCGGCGGAGCAUGCGGAUUAAUUCGAUGCAACGCGUAGAACCUUACCUGGGUUUGACAUGGAUCGGGAGUGCUCAGAGAUGGGUGUGCCUCUUUUGGGGUCGGUUCACAGGUGGUGCAUGCCUGUCGUCAGCUCGUGUCGUGAGAUGUUGGGUUAAGUCCCGCAACGAGCGCAACCCUUGUUCACUGUUGCCAGCACGUUAUGGUGGGGACUCAGUGGAGACCGCCGGGGUCAACUCGGAGGAAGGUGGGGAUGACGUCAAGUCCUCAUGCCCCUUAUGUCCAGGGCUUCACGCAUGCUACAAUGGCUGGUACAGAGAGUGGCGAGCCUGUGAGGGUGAGCGAAUCUCGGAAAGCCGGUCUCAGUUCGGAUUGGGGUCUGCAACUCGACCUCAUGAAGUCGGAGUCGCUAGUAAUCGCAGAUCAGCAACGCUGCGGUGAAUACGUUCCCGGGGCU
RNAcentral lists this ribosomal RNA (1346 nucleotides) under uncultured bacterium. RNAcentral's name for it is "bacterial SSU rRNA". It matches the Rfam family "Bacterial small subunit ribosomal RNA", at positions 28 to 1381 of the family's 1533-position model. The record is from RNAcentral.